Molecule: antisense RNA, 66 nt
Filed under: Enterococcus sp. HSIEG1
Lineage: Bacteria; Bacillati; Bacillota; Bacilli; Lactobacillales; Enterococcaceae
Description: Enterococcus sRNA A9
Rfam family: Enterococcus sRNA A9
About the family: Name 'Ref' stands for RNA in E. faecalis. Encoded by pTEF1 plasmid.
Source: Rfam by way of RNAcentral
GCGAAAUACGAUAAUUGGUACAAGUUACAACACAAAGGGCCGACCUACUGCGAAUAGGUCGGCCCU